GUCCGGUCUGAGUACGAUGGUGUUUACAACUAAAGGAUCACAACCACUUACAGAUUUCUUUGUUCCUUCUUUACUCCCACUGCUUCACUUGACCAGCCUUAA
RNAcentral lists this Y RNA (102 nucleotides) under Cercocebus atys (sooty mangabey). Its description in RNAcentral is "Y RNA (ENSCATG00000004802.1)". It matches the Rfam family "Y RNA". Rfam says of the family: Y RNAs are components of the Ro ribonucleoprotein particle (Ro RNP), in association with Ro60 and La proteins. The Y RNAs and Ro60 and La proteins are well conserved, but the function of the Ro RNP is not known. Lineage: Eukaryota; Metazoa; Chordata; Mammalia; Primates; Cercopithecidae. The record is from Rfam by way of RNAcentral.